AAUCAAGCGCGCAGUUGAAGAGGAGUGCAUGGUUUCCGGCAUUUGGCUGGGCCUUUGUCUCUCGCUCCCACCAGAGCUUGGAAUCCGUCUCUGCUCUUCUGCAUUCUCCACCUCGGGAGCCCCUGGGGACUCUGUGACGGCCUCUGUUGCCCUGUGAUCUGCAGGUCCGGAGAGACGCACAGCUAAGAUGUCAGGACAUCCUGGAAGCUGGGAAAGGGUCUUGCCAUCUCUAAGCUGGACCUGGUGACCUUUUUGGAGGGAAAGAAAGAGCCCUGGACUGUGAAGAGUGAGGAGACCAUAGCUGCACAGCCAGGUAAGUGGGAGUAAAGAUGGUAGGUGGCCUGGGUGAGAGGUUCAAAGGUCAAUAAGCCAGAUUUUCUUUUGUCUUCCAUUAUUUUAUUAUUUUUUAUAUAUAUAUAUAUAUAUAUAUAUAUGUGCAGAUCUGUUUUAUGUGCAACAAUUGAUUCUAUCAGAUAAUCAGACCAAGGCAUUCCACUGGUAAUUUUCCCUCAAAUCAAUUCAGGUGAAAUUAGAUAUUUAUGUACUUCCUGGGCUAUCAAAACUUGAGAUUUCAUUAUCAACUUCAGUUCUGAAGCCAUACACACAAUUCAAAAUAUACAUUAACUAGGUUAAGUCAAUAAAAGUGGGCUGAAAGAAACCACAGGAUUCAAACAAUGAAACCAUGUAUUUUGUUUGCCUGAGAGUCACAAUGUGAACAACAAUUAUUUCGCAUAUCUCAUAGCUCUUCAGUGUAGAGGGAGUGGCUUCUGAACAUAAGGUCAUUGCACAGCAGGUGGGCAAACAGCUGGUGUGGCCUCCUGGAGGCUUCACCCAGUGCUGAUUUCUUCUCUGCCUCUCCUUUUUUAGGUUCUAUUUUUUUCAUCUUUCAUCUUUCCUUUUUUUUUUUUUUUCCCUUGAGAUAGAGUCUUGCUCUGUUGCCCAGGCUGGAGUGCAAUGGUGCAAUCUUGGCUCACUGCAACCUCUGAAUCCUGAGUUCAAGUGAUUCUCAUCCUUCAGCCUCUGAAUAGCUGGGAUUACAGUUGUGCGCCACGAUGCCUGGCUAAUUCUUUGUAUUUUUUUUUAGUAGAGACAGGGUUUUGCCAUGUUGGCCAGUCUGGUCUCGAACUCCUGACCUCAAGUGAUCCUCAUGCCUCGGCUUCCCAAAGUGCUGGAAUUACAGGUGUGAGCCACUGUGCCUGGCCUCCUUUCCUAUUUUCCUAUUUUUUUCUCCCUUUUUGUCUCUCUCUUUCUAUGUGUCUUUCCCUCUGUUUCUCUCUUCCUUUUUUUUGUUUUGUAUUUCUCUCUUCCUCCUUCUCUCUUUCCCUUUGUUUCUUUUUAAUUUUUUUUCCUUGUAGAACUUGGUUUAUUUUUUCCUUCCUUCCUACCUUUCUUUCUUCUUUUCUUCCCUCCUUUCCUCCCGCCUGUUUUCUUUCCUACUACAUGAGCAUGCCAUCAUGCCUGGCUAAAUUUUUUAUUUCUUGUAGUAGAGACGAGGCCUCGCUAUGUUCCCAGGGCUGGCGUCAAGCUCCUGUGCUCAACUAGUUCUUCCAUUUCAGUUUCCCCAAGUGUUGGGAUUAUAGGUUUGAGGCACCAUGUUCUGCCCUCUUUUUAUUUUCUUUUUCAUUCUUCCUUUUUUUUUUUUUUUUUUUGCUCUCUCUCUUGCUUGCUUGCUUCUUUCCUUCAUUUCUUUCUUUAUUCUACAUUUUUCUUUUUUUCUUUUUUCUUUUCUUUUUUUUUGGAGAUGGAGUUUCACUCUUGUUGCCCAGCCUGGAGUGCAAUGGCGUGAUCUUGGCUCACCACAACCUCUACCUCCCUGGUUUAAGUAAUUCUCCUGCCUCAGCCUCCCAAGUAGCUGGGAUUAUAGACAUGUGCCGCCACGCCCAGGUAAUUUUGUAUUUUUAGUAGAGAUGGGGUUUCUCCAUGUUGGUCAGGCUGGUCCUGAACUCCUGACGUCAGGUGAUCUGCCCACCUUAGCCUCCCAAAGUGCUGGGAUUACAGGUGUGAGCCACUGCACCCGGCUCUUUUUUUCUUUUCUUCUUUUUUUUUUUUUUUUUUUUUUUGCGUUAGUCUCGCUCUGUCACCCAGAGGUAGGUGGGAAGCUCUCAGACUUAGUCGCCAGAGGGACAGCUUUGGGCGCGAGCUCCACACGUGGCCUGCAGGGUGGACCUAGUGGCUUCCUGGUCACACCAUCAGGUGACCAGAUGUGGGCUGAGCUGUGGCCAGUACUUGUGGCCGCUGGCCACACGUUUGGGUUGAUCAGAGAUUCAAAGCUUAGGAAGGAAGGUCAGCAGACUUAGAGGCCGGCCACUGAGGUGGGCCACCUUGGGGGGAAUAAGUUUCCAACGGGGACAGCUUCAGGCCGCAAGCGCCACACAUGGCCCAGGGUGGAACUGGUGGGCUUCUGCCUCCGCCAUGAGCUGGCUUCUCCUUCUGGCUGCCAGGUCUACAGGAUGUCGGCCACAAGCGUAGGACUUGGUCGCCAGCUUAAAAUGUUUAAGGGGGACCAGAUGGUUCUCGCCAGUGCAGUACCGCUUAGGUCCACCAGAAAAGCUCAAUGAUGGCUCACUGUGCCCUCCACCUUCCUGGGCUCAUCCAGGUGAUCCUCCCAUUUUGGCCUCCCAAAUAGCUGGGGAUCUGGGGAUAGUUCUGUGUUUUGUUUGUUUGUUUUUUUCUAUCCCCACUUUGAGUUUGUUUCCACAGUACAUUGAGUUUUGUUGGUUUUUGUUUUUUGGGUUUUUUUUCCCUCUCUCUCUCAUGCUCCUUCCUGUACACUGCAGUUGCUGUUGUUUUAGAUUUCUUUCACCUAGGCUUAAGUGCAGUUACUUGAUCACAGCUAACUACAGCCUCGACCUCCCUGGGCUCAGGUGAUUCUUCUGUUUCAGACACCCUGCUUCCUUAGUAACUGGGACUAAAGGUAUACGGCACCACACUGGCACAUUAUUUUGCAUAUCUUGCUUUUUAUUUUUGUAGAGAUGGGGUUCCAUCAUGUUUUCCAGGCUGAUCUCAAACUCCCACGGUCAAGCGAUCUGCUGGCCUCGGCCUCUCAAGGUACUGAGCUUACAGGCGUGAGCCACCAUGCCUGGUUCUAUCUCUGUCUGUCUGUCUACCUACCUAACUACCUACCUACCUACCUACCUACCUGUAAUCAAUCUAUCAUCUAUCUCUCCUUUUUUUUUAAGAAGAGACUUGGUCUUGCUAUGUUUUUCAGGCUCUGGUUUUAUAUAUAUAUAUAUAUAUAUAUAUAUAUAUUUUUUUUUUUUUUUUAAUUUAUUUAUUAUUUUUUAAUAUAGGGGUUGUCUCACCAUGUGGCCCCCAGGAUAGUCUCAAACUCCUGGGCUCAAAGUAUCCUCCCGCCUUGACCUCCCAAAGUGCUGGGAUUACAGGCAUGCACCACCAUGCACAAUCUGGUCAUAUUUUUGAUGUGUUGAUUCUUUCCAGUCCAGAUGUAUAAUCUCAUCCCUGAACAUUUCUGAUGGUGUGAUUAUGACAUGUGACUUUAUCUGGCAACAGAGUGAGUUGUUGCUCCCGCCUGAGCCCAGCCCCCAGAAAGGAUUGUGACAUAUCGUUGGACCCAGAAUUGAGGUAAUGUAACUAUUCCACUGCCUUGGCACUGCCCACAGAAGACAUUGUGACAUAUUGCUGGGUCUUGUACCCAGGUGGUGUGAAUCUUCUCUCCUGCCUUGGCUCUUCCACAGGGGGCAUUGUGUCAUAUCGCUGGGCCCCACACAUAGGUUAUGUGACUCUUCUGCCUGUGCCCUGCCCAUGUGGCCCAUUGUGACAUACUGUUGGGUCCCAAACCUAGGUGAUGUAACUCUACUGCUUAGGCCCUGCCUACAGAGGACAUUGUGACAUAUCCCUGCAUCCAUCACACAGGUAAUGCAGCUCUCUUCUGCUUGGCCCCUACUCACAGAAAGGAUUGUGAUGUAUCACAGGGCUCAGCACCUAGCUAACAUGACUUUUCUCCUCUUCUAGGUUUUUGCCCACAGGGGAUAUUGUGACAUGUCACUGGGCCUAAUACUAGGGUGACAGUACUCUUGUGUCAUGGCACUGCCCUCAGCAGGUGUGGUGAUAUAUUACUGGGCCCAGAACAAAUGUGAUAUGAGUCUCCUGCCUGGACCCUGCCUACAAGGUGCAUUGUAACAUAUCUGGGGCCCUUUGACUAUUUUAUUUUAUUUAUUGUAUUAUAUUUUAUUUAUUUUAAUUUUAUUUUUGAGACAGAAUCUCACUCUGUCACCUAGGAUGGAGUGCAGUGGCGUGAUCUCUGCUCACUUCAACCUUUGCCUCCUGGGUUCAAGUGAUUCUCCUGCCUCAGCCUCCUGAGUAGCUGAGACUACAGGUGUGUGCCGCCACGUCUGGCUGAUUUUUGUGUUUUCAGUAGAGACAAGAUAUCACCCUGUUGGCCAGGCCGAUAUCAAACUCCUGACCUCAGCCAGUCCACCCGCCUUGACCUCCCAAUGUGCUGAGAUUACAGGUGUGAACCAUUGCUCUUGGCACCCUUUGACUAUUUUAUGUGACUCUUCUCUCUUACCUGGACAUUGACCAAAUGGGCCCAGCACCAAGGUGAUAUGACUCUCCUCUCCUGCCUGGGCCUUGCCCUUAGAAGAGAGAGUGACUUACUGCUGAAUUUAGCAUACAGGUGAUAUGAUUCUUCUGCUGACUCGCAGAAGUCACUGUAACAUAUAUGUGGGCCCAUUGCUGAGGUUGUGUGACUCUCUUCUCCCUGGGACCUGUCCACAGUAGGGAUUGUGACAUAUUGCUUGGCCAAGCACCUACAUUGUGUGACUUUUUAUUUAUUUAUUUUUUUAAGACAGAGUUUUGCUCUUGUUGCCCAGGCUGGAGUGCAAUACCAUGAUCUUGGCUCAGCUGGGAUUACAGGCAUGCGCCACCACACCUGGCAAAUUUUUUUUAUGUUUUCAGUAGAGAUGGGGUUUCUCCAUGUUAGUCAGGCUGGUCUCAAACUCCCAACCUCAGGUGAGCCGCCUGCCUUGGCCUCCCAAAGUACUGGGAUUCCAGGCAUGAGCCACUGCACCUAGCUUCGAUAUGACUGUCUUCUUAUGCCAGGGCCCUGCCGACUGGAGUGAUUUUGACACAUAGCUGGGGCCAGCUCAAAUGUUAUGUGACUCCACACUUCUUCCUGAGCCCUAUCUGUGAGGGGCACUGUGUCUUAUCUCUGAGACCGUUAAUUAGGUAAUAUAACUUUUAUUUUUUUGAGACAGAGUCUGGCUUUGUUGCCCCGGCUGGAGUGCAGUGGUGUGAUCUUGGUUCACUGCAACUUCCGCCUCCUGGGUUCAAGUGAUUCACCUGCCUCAGCCUCCUGAGUAGCUGGGAUUACAGGUACACAUGCCACCACGCCCAGCUAAUUUUUGUAUUUUUAGUAGAGAUGAAGUUUCACCAUGUUGGCCAGGCUGGUCUCGAAUUCCUGACCUCAAGUGAGCCACCUGCCUUGGCCUCCCAAAGUGCUGGGAUUACAGGCAUGGGCCACCACACCUGGCCAAUGUAACUCUUUUGUUUGGACUGUCUUCUUGGGGUAUUGUGAUAUAUUGCUGGGCCCAGAAUCCGGGUGAUGUGACUCUGCUGUUUCAUCUCUGCACAAAAAGGGAUUGUGACAUACCACUGGGUCAAGAACCUAGAUGAGGUGACUCUCCUCUCCAGCCUGGGACCUGCACACAUUGUGUACUAAGACAUAUCACUGAGUCUAACACCUAGGUAAUGCAACUCUCCUGCAUGGGCCCUGCCCAUAGGGGUAUUAUGAAAUAUCUUUCUGUUAAUCACCUAGGUGAUGCGACACUCCUCUUCUACCUGGGAACUGCCAAAACAAGUAUUGGUACAUAUCACUGGGCCCAGCACAUAGGUGAUGUGACUCUUUUCUCAUGCAUGGGCUCUGCGAACUGGGGUGUUUUUUACAUAUAGUUGGGCCUAAACCCUAGGUCGUGUGAUUCUUUUAUUUUCCUGAGCUGUACUCACAGAGAGCAUUUUGACAUGUUUUUGGGCCCGUAAUUUAGAUGAUGUGACUCUCUUGGAUGGGCCUUCCCCGGAAUGGGUAUUGUGACAUAUUGCUGAGCCCAUUAUAUAGGUGAUGUGACUCUCUUGCAUGGGCCCUCCACAUAAGGGGUAGUGUGACAUAUUGCUGAGCCCAGUAGGUGAUGUGACUCUUCUCUAUGGUUUGGGCUUUGCCCAAGCAGGGAUUGUGAUGUGUUGCUGGACUCACCACCUAUGUGUUGUGACUCUCCUCUUCUGCCUAAGCCCUGCAUGCAUUGUGUGUUGUGACAUGCCUGGAUUCAACACCUAGGUGAUACAACUUUAUGGCAGGGGAACCACCCACAGAAGUAUUGUAUCAUCUUUCCAUCACUUAGGUGAUGUGAUUCUUUUAUUUUUCCUGUUUCUGGCAUAUUUUGGGUAUAGUGACAUACCAUUGAGUUCAACACCCAUGAAAUCGGAGGCUUCUGCCUGAGCCCAGCACAUAAGUGACCUUGUGACAUAUCUUUGCAUUCAUUAUCUAGGAGAUUUAACUCCCCUUUUUGCCUGCACCCUGACCACUGGGAAGAUUGUGGCAAAUCACCGGUCUCAGCAAUCAAGUGAUGUGUUUUUCCUGCCUGGUCCUUGCCCACAGAUCAUUGUAACAUGUCACUGGGCCUAGCAUCCAGGUGAUGUGACUCUGCUGACUAUAUUCUGCUUUCAAGAGGAGAUUGUAACGUAUCCCUAAUCGAGCACCCAGGUGGUGUGACACUUCUGCCCUAUCCCUGCCCUUAGAGAUGAUUGUGACAUAUUGCCCCAAAAGGCAGGUGAUGUGAGUCUUCUGGUCAAUCCCUAUUCACUGGUGGGAUUGUGAUACAUAUCUUAUCCAAACUUAUAGGGGCAAUAUGACUCUCAUACCUCUAAACAACCAAUAGCAGAUACACUAGUUCUCAUAGCCAGGGUCAGGAAAAUGAGUAAUGUCUUGGGUUUCUUCUUUGUAUGAAGGUCAUAAAGAAUUAACACUCUGUCACAUACUGUGUAAAGUCGUCAAGAGGUACAGGGAAUGUCCUAACAGAACUCAGCACACAGGGGAGGUUGCGACACUCAUAUGCAUAGCCUGCCAACAGUAAAGACUGUCAUCCUUCCACAUAAACACAGCUCACUGUUGAGGUUCUGAAUCUCAUACCCAGAUGAAGUUGAAAGUUAGAAAAUUAAAUCUCAUGUUAAUUCGAUCCAUAGAGAGGUUAGUGUCUCUGAGACCAAGAUUCAGCACACCUGUGAGUCAGUGACUUCAUUAAAAUGACAGAAUUUGCAGGAAGGAUUGAAGUUCUCAUGCACAAAUCCAGACCAUCAUUGAGACUGUCACUCAGGUACUUACACCCAACAUACAGAGGGUAUUUUGUCUCAUACCUAGAACUAAGAAAUGUGUGAAAUUGUUAAUCUCAUACCUCGACCUUAAUUCAGGUGUGUUUGUGACAUACACCUUUUUUAAGCACCUAAGUAAUUUGACUCUCCUGCCUGGGCCCAACGUACAGAUGGGAUUGUGCCAUAUUUCUGGACCCAGCAUUUAGGUGAUGUGAGUCUAUUCUCUUGUCUUAGUGCUUUCCACAGAGAACACUGGACAUAUCACAGGGCCUAGUGCCCAGGUGAUAUGACUUUCCUCUACUUCCUAGGCUUUUCCUAAGAAGGGAUUGUAAUAUAUUGCUGGGUCAGAACCUAGGUCGUGUGACUCUCCUGUGCUGCCUGGUUCCUCUUGUACAUUGUGUAUUGUGACAUGUGGCUUGUUCUAACACCUCGAUGAUGUGAAUCUCCUGCAUGGGCCCUGUCCACAGAGGUAUUAUAACAUAUCUUUUUAUUCAUCACCUAGAUGAUGUAACUCUUUUCUAUCUGGGCCCUGCCAAAAGGGAGGAUUGCGGCAUAUCACUGGACCCAGCAUCUAGGUGAUGUGAUUCUCCUGUUUUCCCUGGGCCUCAAAUAUUUUGGAUAUUGUAAAAUAUUGCUAGGCCCACUACCUAUGGGAUUGCAUGCUCCUGCCUGGGCUCUGCCCACAGGGACCUUGUGACAUAUAUCUGCGUCCAUGACCUAAAAGGUGACACUUCUUGCCUGCACUGUGCCCUGAACAGGAAAUAUUGUGACAUAUCCCUGGAACCAGACACCAGGUGAUAUGGCUCUUCUGCCCCUGUCUUGCCCCCAGGGAGCAUUGUGACAUAGUGCUUAGCUCAGCACCCAGGUGAUGUGACUCUGUUGCCUGUGCUGUGCUUUCAGGAGAGAAUUGUAACAUAUCCCUGGCUGAGCACCCAGGUGAUAUGACACUCCUGCUUGUUUCCUUCCCUCGGGGAAGAUUGUGAGAUACCUUGGCUGAAAUCCCAGGUGAUGUAACUCUCUUGCUAACUCCCUACCUACAGGUUAAAUGGUGACAUAUACUAUAGUCAGCUUAUAAGUGGAAUGAUGACUCUCAUACCUCUAGUCAGCUAUUGGAAGAAAUACUGUCUCUCAUAGCUCGACUUAGAUAAAUGAGUCACUUCCUUGGUCUUCUCUUUUUAUGAAGGUCAUAAAGAAUUGCCACACUCUAACAUAUUGUAUAAUGCCCUCGAGUGUUACAAACGUGUUAUCCCAGGGCACACAGCACAAAGGUGAGAUUGUUUCUUAUAUGCACACCUCACCAAUUAUUAGGAUUAUCACCCUCACACAGGGAAAGAGCCUAUGGCUGAAGUCUUGAAUCUCAAAUGCAAACAGAAUCUCAAAUGCAAACACUGUCCACAGUUGGAAUUGUGACUCAUGUAUGAGCCUCCAACCACAGUUGAGAUGGUGACACAUUUCUAAACUCAGAACAUAGCAGAUGAGGACUCUACUCUCUUAAACCCAACAAAUUAAGAGAGAUGUUGACUAAUACCUGGGCUUAGGGCCACAAGUAUGGUCAUGGGUGCUUACAAACAUGAUUUUAGAGUAAAUUGUGCCUCUCAUUUAUACUGGAUAAAGCCUUUGAGUAGUAUAGUGUACUAACCAGGCGCAGUGGCUCACGCCUGUAAUCCCAGCACUUUGGGAGGCCGAGGUGGGUGAAACGAGGUCAGGAGUUCAAGACCAGCCUGACCAACAUGUUGAAACCCCAUCUCUACUAAAAAAUACAAAAAAUUAGCUGGGCAUGGUGGUGGGCACCUGUAAUCCCAGCUACUUGGGAGCCUGAGGCAGGAGAAUUGCUUCAACCCGGGAGGUGGAGGUUGCAUUGAAUUGAGAUCAUGCCACUGUACUCCAGCCUGGGUGAUAGUGCGAGACUCUGUCUCACCAAAAAAAAAAAAAAAAAAAAAAAAAAAGAGUGUACUAACAAGACCCAGCACACAGAGGAGAUUUUCUCUUUUUCUUUUUCUUUUUUUCUUUUGAGAUGAAGUCUUGCUCUGUCACCCCAGCUGGAGUGCAGUGGCGCGAUCUCAGCUUACUGCAAUCUCCACCUCCGGGUUCAAGUGAUUCUCCUGCCUCAGCCUCCUGAGUAUCUGGGAUUACAGGCACAUACCACCAUGCCCGGCUAAUUUUUGUACUUUUAGUAGAAACAGGGUUUCACCAUGCUGGCCAGGAUGGUCUCAAUCUCCUGACCUCGUGAUCCACCUGCAUCAGCCUCCCAAAGUGCUGGGAUUACAGGUGUGAGCCACUGCAGCCGGCCUGGAGAUUUUCACUGUUAUAUGAACACCCAUCAAAAAGUAUACAUCAUCAUAUUCUCACAUAAACACAGCCCACUUUUGAAGUUCUGGAUCACACCUAGAGGAAGUCAAAGGUGGAAAAAUUGACUCUUAUAUAUGGAUCCAGUCCAUAGGUGAGUUGGUGACACUCAGAGCAAGAUUCAGCAUGCGUAUGAGGCUGUGACUUCACUAAUUAGACAAAGUCCACAGGAGGAGUAUAGGCUGUCAGGUACAAAUUUAGUUCACUGUUGACAUUGUAACUCCUGUUCUUAGACACAACAUAUAGGAAGGGUUAACCUCCUUUACCUAAAACCGGAACAUGUGUGGGAUUGUUAAUUUCAUCUCUGCACCUUCCCACAGGUUUAAUUGUAACAUUUUUCUCUGCCCAGCACCUGAGUGAUCUGACUCUCUUGCCUAAGACCAGCCCACAGAUGGAAUAGUGACACAUAGCUGAACCCAGAACUGAGGGGAUGUGAUUCUAUUUUUCUGCAUUGGUGCUGCUCACAGGGGACAUUGUGACAUAUCGCUGGACCUUACACUUAAAUGAUUUGAGUCUCCUCCCCUGCCUUGGCACUGCCUACGGAAGGCGUUGGGACAUGUCUCUGAGCCCUAUGCCCAGGUUAUGUGACUCUCCUGCCUGUUCCCCGACCACAUAAGCAAUUGUGACAUAUUGCUGGGUUUGACACCCUGGUAAUGUAACUCUACUGCCAAAAAGGAGCAUUAUGACAUAUAUUUCCAUUCAUUACCCAGGUGUUAUGACUCUCUUCUCCUGCCUGGUCCCUGCUCACAGAGGGAAUUUUGACAUAUCCCUUGGCUCAGUACCAACAAGUGUGGUUCUUCUUCCAUCAUAAGUUCUGCUGGCAAGGGAGAUGGAGACAUAUUGUGGAGCUCUAUGCCAAUGUGACAUUACUGUUUGCUUUGGCCUGGACCUCAAAAGGCAUUGUGACAUAUUGCUGGGCCCAGCAACAUGGUGACAUGAGUCUCCUGUAUGGACCAUGACAACAGAGCAUUGUGACAUAUCUUUAAGAGCAUCAACUAUUUGAUGUGACUCUCCUUUUCUACCAAGGUUUCCCCACAAUGAGAGAUUGUGACGUAUCUUCUGACCCAGAAAUCAGGUGAUGUGUUUCUCCUGCCUGAGCUUUGCUCAUAGGGAGCAUUGUGACAUAUCACUCGUCUCAGCUCCCAGGUGAUGUGACUGUACUGUCUGUGCCCUGGUUUCAGGAGGAAAUUUAACAUAUCCCUGACUGAGCACCCAGGUUUUAAUUCUUCUGCCUGGUGCCUUCUCUCAGAGAAGUUUGUGACAUAUCCCUGGCCUAUUACCCAGAUGAUAUAAGUCUCCUGCUCACUCCCUAUCCACAGUGGAGAUUGUGACAUCUUUUUUCAGAUCAUAGGCACAAUGUUGGCUGUCAUAUCUGAAACCAGUCAAUAGGAGACAUACUAUCUCUCAUAUGUGGGCUUAGGUACAUGGGUAAGAUUGUCACUCUUCUCUUUUUAGGAAGGUCAGAGAAAAUUACACUCUCUCACAUAUUGUAUAAAGUCCUCAAGUGGUAUACAGAGUGUCAUAACGGCUCUAGAAAACAGAUGGGAUUGUGAUUUAUGUAUGCACACUUUGCCAAUUGUUAAGAUUGUCACCCUCAUCCAUGGACAAAGCCUACUGGAGAGGUCUUAAAUCUUACAUGUGGAUGCAGUGCAGAGUUGAAAUUGUGACUGUCAUAUGUGAACAUCAGGCAACAGCUGAGGUGGUGACUCAUUAGUAAGCCUAGCUUAUAGGGAGGUAACAACUCUCAUAUCUGGACCCAGUCAUUAUAGAGGUGUUAACUCUCAUAUCUGGGCAUAGAGCCACAGGUACGAUUAUGGGUCGAUACCAUUACAAUUGUCUCCCAGUCACAAAAGAUUGCGACUCUCAUGGGAACCUUAUAAAUUCCUCGGUUGGUACAGGGAAUGUUCUAACUAGGCUCAUUGUACAGUUGAGGUUUUGACACUCAGGCACACCCAGCCGACAGUAAAGAUUGUCCUCUUUUCACAUGAAUACAAUCCACUGGAUGUUCUGAAUCUCAUAUCCAGAGACAGUUGCAAGUUGGAAAAUUUACUCUUAUAAGUGAAUCCAGUCCAAAGUUAAGUUGGUGACUUUCAGACCAAGAUUGAACACACUGUUAGUCUGUGAUUCCACUAAGGUGAAACAGCCAGUAAGAGGGAUUGUGUCUCUCAUUCAAUGAUUCAAUUCAUUCUAAAAAUGUGACUUGUGUACUUGGAUUUAACAUACAGGAGGUGUUGACUCUCAUACCAAGAAUUGGGGUAUAUACAGGAUUGUUAGUCUCAUCCUUGGUCUUUCCUUCAGGUGCAGUUUUGACACACUUCUGUCUAGCAGCUGAGUAUUGUGAUCUUCAGAACUGGCCCAGCCUACAAAUAGGAUUGUGCCACACUGCUGGACCCAGCACCUAGAUGAUGUAACUAUUCUCCUGCCUUGGUGCUACUCAAAAAAGACAUUAACAUAUCUCAGAGCCUUGCACCCAGGUAAUGUGAGUCUCCUCUCCUGCCUUGCUGCUGCACACAGAAGCGGGUUAUGUACAGGAUUGUUAAUCUCAUUUGGACCUUCCUGCACCUAUGAUUGUGACACAUGCCUCUGUGUAGAACCCAAGUGAGUUUUCUCUCCUGUUUGGAUUUAACCCACAGAUGGAAUCGUGACAUAUCGCUGCACCAGAAACUAGGUGAUGUGACUCCAUUUCCUUGCCUCUGUGCUUUCCACAUUAGGCAUUGGGACAUAUCACUGGGCCUUGCAUCCAGGUGAUGGGAGUUUUCUUUUUCUUUCUUUCUUUCUUUCUUUUUUUUUUUUUUGAGACAGAAUUUCGCUCUUGUUACCCAGGCUGGAGUGUAAUGGUGCAAUCUUGGCUCAAGGCAACCUCCGCCUCCUGGGUUUAAACAAUUCUGUCUCAGCCUCCCAAGUAGCUUAGAUUACAGGCAUGCGCCACCACGCCUGGCUAAUUUUUGUAUUUUUAGUAGAGACAGGGUUUCUCCAUGUUGGUCAGGCUGGUCUCGAACUCCUGACCUCAGGUGAUCCACCUGCCUUGGCCUCCCAAAGUGCUGGGAUUACAGUUGUGAGCCACCGUGCCCGGCCAGUGAUGGGAGUUUUCUCUCCUGCUUUGGUGCUGACCACAGUGAGCAUUGUAAAAUAUUGCUGCCAUCACCCCUAGAUUAUGUUAACUCUCCUCUGCUUUGCCCACGUGGUUCACUGUGACAUAUUACUGGGUCUAAAACCCAGAAAAUGUAACUCCCUUAUUUAGGUUCUGCCUGCAGGAGCCAUUGUCACACAUCUCUGUGCUCACCACCCAGGUGAUGUGACUGCCUUUUACUGCCUAGUUCCUUCUCACAAAACAUCUUGUGGCAUACUGCUAGGCCCAGUACCUGGCUGGUGUGACUCCUCUCUUCUUUCUAGGUUCCACCUGCAGCAAAGAUUGUAACAUACCGCUGGGCCCAACAGCAUAAUGACGUUAUUCUUUUGCCUUGGGCCUGCCCUCAGAAGGCACUAUAAAAUAUUCAUGGCCCCAGCGCCAAGGUGAUGUGUGUCUCCAGCCUGGAUCCUGCCCACAGAGGGCAUUAUGACAUAUCUCUUGGCCCAUCAGAUGUUUAAUAUUAUCUCCUCCCAUUUCCUACCCUGUGUUUGCCUGUAAGAGACAUUGUCACAUGUUCCUGGGCCCAGCACCUAGGUGAUGUCUUCCUGAGACCUGUCCAUAUGGGGAUUGUGAUAUAUUGUGUGGCCCAGAACUUACUUGAUGCGACUCUCCUCUCAUGACUAGGCCCUGCUUACAGGUGUGAUUGUGACACACAGCUUGGCCUAGCCCCUAAGUUAUGUUACUCUGCUCUUAUUCUUCAGUCAUUUUCACAGGGGGCAUUGUGACAUAUUGCUAGACUGAGAACUUAGGUGAUGUGACUCUCCUCUACUGCUUGGAAUAUUCCCAAAAAGAGAGUUUGAUAUAUUGCUUAGCCAGGAUCCUAGGUGAUGUUACUCUUUUCUCCUGCCUAAACCCUGCAUACAUUAUGUAUUUUGGCACUGGGGCCACAACCUAGGUGAUGUAACUCUCCUGCAUGGGCUUUGCCUACAGGGGUAUGAUGAUGUUUCUUUUCUUUCAUCACCCAAGUGGUGUGACUCUCCACUUAUGCCUGGGUCUUGAUGAAAGAGGAAUUGUGACAUAUCCCUGGCCCUAGCACUUAGGUGAUGUAACUUGCCUUUAUUGCCAGGGCAUGGCAUAUUAUGAAUAUUGGACGUAUCUCUGGGACUGACACCUAGGGGAUGAGAGGUUCCUGCCUUGGCCCUGCCCACAGGAGGCUUUGUGGCAUGUCUCUGGCCUCAUUACCUAGAAAGAUGUGACUCUUCUCUUCUACCUGCAUUCUUCCCACAGAGAAGAUUGUGACAUCACUGGAUCCAGCAAUUAGAAAAUGUUUCUCUCCUGCCUGAGCCUUGCCCACAGGAAUAUUGUGACAUAUCCUUGGGCUCAGCACCCAGGUGAUGGAACUCUGCCACCUGUGCCCUGUCUACUUAGGCUAUUGUGAAGCUGGUUUCAAUACCCAGGUGAUGUAACAUUCCUGCCAGGCCACUGCCUUCCAGGGAUAUUGUUACGUACCUUUGUGCCAAUCACCAAGGUGAUGUGAAUCUUUUCACCUGCCUAGUCCUUGUUCACUAGGGGAUAAUGAUAUCUAUUGCUGGUUUCAGCACCAAGCUGAUGUUACUUGCCUCUUCUUCACAGAUUCUGCUCACAGAAAAACUAACACAUCACUAGGCCCAUCAGCGAAAUUAUUUUGCCUGGCCCUGCCCUUAAAAGACAUUGUGACAUACUACAGUGCCCAGCAUCAAUGUAAUUUGUCUCCUGCCUAAACCCUGCCUACUGGGGGCAUUGUGACAUAUCUCUUGGCCCAUCAACUAUUUGAUGUGACUCUACUUUCUUACCUGGGCUUUGCCAAUAGUAGAGCUUGUGACCUAUCUCUGGGCCCAGCACCUAGAUGUUAUGACUCUCCCGCCUGGUCCAUGCACACAAAAAAGAGAGUGACUUAUACUAGGAUCAACACACAAAUGAUUCUAUUCUUCUGCAUUAUCCCAGCCCACAUGGCUUAUUGUGACAUCUCUAGGUUCAUCAUCUAGAUGAUAUGACUCUCCUUCCUGGGAACUGUCCAUAAUGAAGAUUGUGACACAUCACUUGGCCCAGCACCUAUGUGAUAUGACUCCUUUCUUUUGCCUGGGCCUAUCAGUUUGGGUGAUUGUGUCAUAUAGCUUUACUCAGCACCUUGAUUAUGUGACUCUCCUGUUUCUCCUGAGUCCUACCCACAGAGGUCAUUGCAACAUAUCCCUGAGCCCCUAAUUUAGGUAAUUUGACUCCUGCCUGGGCCCUACCCUCAUUGAUUUUUGUGACAUAGUUUUUGACUCAGCACCUAGGUAAUGUGAUUCUUCUCCACUGCUUGGACUCUGUCACAGAAGGUAUUGUGAUGUAUCACUGGGGCUGACACCUAGGUGAAGGUACUGUCUUCUCCUGCCUGGGCCCUGCAUAAAUUGUAUAUUUUGACAUUUCACUAGGUUCAACACAUGGGUGAUUCAACUCUCUCACAUGGACCGUGAGCAUGGGGUUAUUGAGACAUUUAUUUUUGUUCAUCACCUAACCGAUGUGACUCCUCUCUGAUCCCUGUCAAAAGGAAAGAUUGUGACAUAUCACUGGAACCAGAACUUAGGUGAUGUGACUCUUCUGUCUAACAACCACAUAUUUUGGUUAUUGUGACAUUUCACUGGGCCAAACACCUCAGCCCUGUCCACAGGGGUUCUUGUGACAUAUAUCUGCAUCCAUUACAUAAAAGAUGUGAUGCCUUUUCUACCUGCACCCUCCCCACAGGAAAGGUUGUAACACACUGCAGGGCCCAGCCACCAGGUGAUAUGUCUCUCCUGCAUGUGCAUAACUUUCAGGAGAAAAUUGUAACAUGCCACUGGUUGAAAACCCAGAUGAUGUGACUCUCCUGCCUUUUCACAGCCCUCAGGGAAAAAAAUUACAUAUCAUUUGCCCAGCAUCCAGGUAAUGUCACUCUCCUGGGUGGUUUGUGCCAACAAGUUGGUUGGUAACAUAUAUCUCGGCCCAGCUCACAGGUUUGAUGGUGACUCUAAUACCUCCUACCAGCCAAUAGAAGAGACACUGUCUCUCACAGGUAGGCUUAGAAAGAGGAGUAAAAUUCCUGGCUGGGUGUGGCGGCUCACGCCUAUAAUCCCAGCACUUCAAGAGGUAGAGGUGGACGGAUCACCUGAUGUCGGGAGUUCAAGACCAGCCUGACCAACAUGGAAAAACCCUGUCUCUACUAAAAAUACAAAAAAUUAGCCAGGUAUAGUGGCACGUGCCUGUAAUCCCAGCUACUCGGGAGGCUGAGGCAGGAGAAUCGCUUGAACCCAGGAGGUGGAGGUUGUGGUGAGCUGAGAUCACACCGUUGCACUCCAGUCUGGGCAACAAGAGUGAAACUCUGUCUCACAAAAAAAAAAAAAAAGAAAAAGAAAAAGGAGUAAAAUCCUGGUGGUCUCUCUGUAUGAAGGUUAUAGAGAAUUACCACUCUCUUGUAUAUUGUGUAAAGCACUUGGAUGGUACAGAGCAUGUCUUCUGUACCAUAGGACCCAGCAAACAGGUUAGAUCAUGUUUCAUGUAAGCACAUCCUGCCAGUUUUUAGGAUUGUCAUCCUCACACAUGAAAGAGCCCACUGACUGAUGAGGUCAUAAUUCUCAUGGAUGGAUGCAGUCCAUACUUAAAAUUGUGACUAUCUUAUGUGAACAUGUGGCCACACUUGAGAUGGUGAAUCAUUUCUAAACCCAGCUCAUAGUGGUGAGGACUCUCCUCUCUGGACCCAGCUAAUUGGAGAGAUGUUAAAUGUCAUACCUAGACUUGGGACCACAUUAGAUCAUGUGUUCAGAGCAGGUUGCAACUCUCAGGCACACCAUAUACAGUCCACAAGAGAGUGUCCUGACAGAGAGAAGCACACAGGUGAGACUGAAAUUUAUAUUCACACCCAGUCAAUACCAAAGAUUGUCAUCCACUUAAACACACUCUUCUUUUGAGGUUCUGAAUCUCACUUUUGGAGGCAGCUGAGUGUUGGAAAAUUGACUCUCAUUUGUGGAUUUUUGUCCACAGUUGGGUUAGUGACUCGUUAACCAAAAUUCAGCACACCUUUGUGACUGCAACUUCACUAAGGAGCAUAAUUUAUUUAUUUUGAGAUGGAGUUUUGCUCUUGUUACCGAGGCUGGAGAGCAGUGGCACGAUCUUGGCUCACUGCAAACUCUGCUUCCUGGGUUCAAGUGAUUCUCCUGCCUCAGCCUCCUGAGUAGCUGGGAUUACAGGUGCCCACCACUAUGCCAGCUAAUUUUUUGUAUUUUUAGUAGAACUGGGGUUUCACCAUGUUGGUCAGGCUGGUCUUGAACUCCUGACCUCAAGUGAUCCACUUACCUCAGCCUCCCAAAGUGCUGGGAUUACAGGUGUGAGCCUCCUUGCCUAGACUAAGGCACAUAAUUUGCAAAAGAAAUUGAGGCUCUUAUGCACAAAUCCAGUCCACCAUUGAGACUGACCCCUGUACUUAGACCCAACAUGCAGGAAGUGUUGACUGUCAUUCCUUGACUCAGGACAUGAGUGUAAUUGUUAAUGUCAUCACAAGACCUUUCUACAAGUGUCAUGUGACAUACAUCUUAGCCCAGCAUCUGAGUUAUUUGUCUUUUCCUGGGACCAGUCCACAGUGCCAUAUCACCGGGCCCAUACCCUUGGUAAUGUGAUUCUAUUCUGCUUUGAUAAAGCGCACAGUGGUCAUUGUGACAUUGCUUGGUGUUGCACCCAGGUGGUGUGAGUCGGCUCUUCUGCCUUGGUGCUGCCCACAGAUGUAUUGUGACAUAUUGCUGGGCCUAUGUUAUGUUUAUCUUUUGCUUGUGCCCUAAACACAUAGCCUGAGUCCAACGACCAGGUGAUGUAACACUUCAUCCUGGACCGGUCUACAGAGGGGAUUGUAAUAUAUGUCUUCACCAAUCACCCUGGAAAUGUGACUUACUUUUCCUGCCUGUCCCUAAUCACAGGGGGUACUGGAACAUAUUGUUGGGCCCAGCACGUAGCUGAUGUGACAAUUUUUUUUUGGGUUCUGCUCACAAAAGAGAUUAUGACAUGUGAUUGUGCCUAACACUAAGGUGAUGUUACUUUUUUUUUUUUUUUGCUUUGGCUCUGCCCUUAGAAGGCAUUGAGACAUGGCUGGGCUCAGCACUAAGAAGAUGUGAGUCCUCUGCCUGAAGCCUGACCACAGGGAGCAUUGUGACACAUUUCUUGACCCAUUACAAUCUCUUCUACGGGCAAAGCUGAGGUAAAUGCCCGUUUUACCUAUGUGAUGUGACAUUCCUCUUCUGCCUGGGCCAUGCCCACAGAAUAGAGUGACGUAUUGGUGGGGCAAGCAAAACAGUGGUGUAAUUAUUCUGCCUGGUCCCUGUACACAGGAGUCACUGUGAUACAUGUUUGGGCCUCCCACCUAGAUGAUGUGACUUUUUUCUUCUGGAGUUUGUCCACAGUGGGAAUUGUGAUAUGCCACGUGACAUAGCUCCUAUGUGAUGUGACUCUUUCUCAUUCUUGGCCUCUUUCCACUGGGGUUACUGGAACAUAAAGCUGAGCCCAGCUCCUAGGCUGUGUCUCUCCUUUCUAAGCCCUACCCACAAAGGACAUUGUGACGUAUCUCUAGGCUUCUCACCUAGGUAAUAUUACUUUUUUACCUAGGCCCACCCCUCAGGGGUAUUGUGAAAUACUGCUGGACCAACAUGCUAGAUGAUAGGAGUCUCUGCUACUGCUUGGGGUGUGAUUAAGAGGAAAUUGUGAUGUGCAUUUGGGUGCAUCCAGCACCUAAGUGAUGUUAACUCUCCUCUUGUGCCUGAGACCUGCAUGCAAUAUGUGUUUUUGUGUUUUUUGUUUGUUUUUGAGAUGGAGUUUUGCUCCUUUUGCCCAGGCUGGAUUGCAAUGGUGCAAUCUCAGCUCACCACAACCUUCAUCUCCCAGGUUCAAGCAAUUCUUCAGCCUCAGCCCCCUGAGUAUCUGGGAUUACAGGCAUGUGCCACCAAGCCCGGUUAAUUUUUCUAAUUGUAGUAGAGAUGGGGUUUCUUCAUGUUGGUCAGGCUGGUCUCGAACUCCCAACCUCAGGUGAUCCACCGACCUCAGCCUCCUAAAGUGCUGGGAUUACCGGUGUGAGCCACCGCACCUGGCUGGCAUCAUGUAUUUCAACAUGUCUCUGGGUCCAACAACAUUAUGAUGAGACUUUCCUGUGUGGGCUCUCACACAGAACUAUUCUAACACAUCUUUUCAUUCAUUAUCUUGGCGAUUUGACUUUUCUGUUCCGCUUGAGCACUGCCAAAAGAAAAAUUUGUGGCAGAUCACUGGACCUAGCACCUAGGUGAUGUGGCUCUUCUCACUUGCCUGAGACCUGCAUAUUUUGGUUAUUGUGACAUAUCACUGAAACAAACACCUAGGGGUUGGAAGGCUUCUGCCUGAGCCCCUCCCACAGAGGGCCUUGGAAUAUAUUUUUUUAUCCAUCACCUGGGAGAUGAAACCCUCUACUUCUACCUGCCUUCUUCCCAUAGAGAAGAUUGUGAUAUAUUGCUGGGCCCAGGAACCAGGUGUUUUGUCUAUCUUUUCUGGGCUUUGCCUACAGUGAGCCUUGUGACACCCAGGUGAUCAUACUCUUCUUCCUAUGCCCUGCUUUCAGGAGAGGAUUAUAACAUCUCUGGUUGAGAACUCUGUGAUGUGACUCUCCUUGCUGGUGCAUGCUGUCAGGGAAGAUUGUGACAUAACCCUGGCUCAGCACACAGUUGAUGUGACUCUUGUGCUUGUUCUCUACCCACAGGUGGAAUUGUGACAUAUAACUUGGCCAAGCACACAGAUGUAAUGGUGUGGUGACUCUCAUACCUAGAACUGGGACCUGUGCAGGAUUGUUAAUUCAUUACUGGACAUUCCUGUGGGUGUGAUUGUUACAUAUGCCUAUGUUCAGCACCCGAGUGAUUUGAUUUUGCUGCCUGGUCUCAGUCCAAAUGUAAGAUUGUGAUUUAUCGCUGAAUCCAGCACCUCGGUGAUUUGACUCUCCCUUUUUUUGUGGGAGGGAUCCUGCAAAUUUUGGGUAUUGUCAAUUAUUGCUGAAUCCUGUACCCAUGUUAUGACUCUCCCAAAUGUGCCUUACCUGUUGUGGCACAAUAUAUCACAUUAGACAUUGUUAAAUAUUGUUGGGUUCAACACCUGGGUGAUGGAUGUAACUUUUUUUCUGGGCCUGCCUACAGGGGACCUUGUGACAUAACUCAAUGCCCAUCAUCAUGGUAAUGUUACUCUCUUCUCCUGCCUGAUCUCUGCUCACAGAGAAAUUGUGACACAUCACUGGCCUAGCAUCUAGGUGAUGUGACUCUCCUCUUUUUUUCAGGCUCUGCAUAUUUGGGUAUUGUGACAUAUUGCUGAACUCAACACCUAAGGGAUGGGAGUCUCCUACCUAGGCCCUUCCUACAGGGGACAUUGUGACAUGUCUCUGCAUUCCUCAUCCAGGAGAUGUGACUCUCCUUUUCUGCCUACACCCUGCCUACACAGAAAGUUGUGGCAUAUUGCUGUGGUCAGCAACCAGAUGAUAUAUUUCUCCUGCCUGGGUCUUUAUUACAGGAAAGAUGAUUGACAUAUUACUGGGCCCAGCAUCCAGAUGAUGUGACUCUCUUCUUCUGUUGGUCCUUGCUUACAGGGAAACUGUAGCAUAUUGCUACACCCAACACCUAGCUUAUGUGAUUCUUCUUUUAGGUUUGCCUUCAGGGAACAUUGUGACAUAUUGCUGGGCCCUGCACUGAUAAUUUGUGACUCUUCUGCCUGUGAUUUGCCCACUUGGGGCAUUGUGACAUAUUGCUGGGUUUAACACUCAGGUGAUGUAACUUUUAUGCCUAGGCCUUGCUUACAGGAGGCAUUUUGAAAUGUCUUUGUGGCUGGGCAUGGUGGCUCAUGUCUGUAAUCCCAGCGCUUGGGGAGGCCAAGGUGGGCAGAUCACAAAGUCAGGAGUUCGAGACCAGCCUGGUCAACAUGGUGAAAACCUGUCUCUACUAAAACAAAACAAAACAAAACAAAACAAAACAAAACAAAACAAAACAAAACAAAUAAAACCACAAAAAUCAGCCAGGUGUGGUGAUUGGUGCCUGUAGUUGCAGCUACUCAGGAGGCUGAGGCAGGAUAAUCGCUUAAGUCCAGGAGGUGGAGGUUGCAGUGAGCUGAGAUUGCACCACUGCACUCCAUCCUGGGCAACAGAGUGAGACUCCAUCUCCAAAAAAAAUAAAAUAAAAUAAAAUAAAAAUACAAAUGUCUUUGCACCAAUCCUACAGGUGAUGUGACUCUCUUGUGUUACCUGGUCUCUGCCCCCAGGAAGAAUUGUGACCUUUCACAGCGUAUAGCUAAUUUUUUUCUUUUAUUUCUUAGUUUUUCUCCUGCAGGAAAGAUUGUGAAAUAUUACUGAACUAAGCACCAAAGGGAUAUAUUUUUUUUCUUGGACCUGCCCAUGUAAGACCUUGUGACAUAUUGCUGGGCCCUACACCUAGAUGAUGUGAGUUUUCUGCCCGUCAACUAUUUUAUGUGACUCUCCUCUCUUAUCUUCACUUUGUCCAUAGGUUAGCUUUUAAUAUACCUUUGGGCCUGGGUCAUGCUAAUAGAAGCAAGAGUGACUUAUUGUUGGGCCCAGCACACAGGGGAUGUGAUUCUUCUGCUUGGUUCCUGCCGAAAUGGUCAUUGUGACAUAUCUAUGGGUCAGUUGGCUAAAUGACAGGACUCUUUUUAUCUUUCUGGAGCAGUCCACAGUAGGAAAUUUGACAUAUCGCUGGGCCCAGCACAUAUCUGAUGUGACUCUCCUCUCAUGCCAAGGCCUUGCCUACUGUAGUGAUUGUGCCAUAUAGCUGGGCCCAGCUCCUACGUUAUCUGACUCCUGUUUUCUUCCUGAGCCCUAUGAAAAGAUUGCAUUAUUAAAUAUUUCUGGGUCUUU
This 21641-nucleotide long non-coding RNA is filed under the name Homo sapiens (human). RNAcentral describes it as "HSALNT0396919". The record is from RNAcentral. Lineage: Eukaryota; Metazoa; Chordata; Mammalia; Primates; Hominidae.